GAUUUCUGGUUCGGCGCACUUGGCCCGUCUCGGUUUACGGGAUUGCGUGCCGGUGUGCGCCAUCCAUCCUUCGAGAGAACACUUCUACCCUCACGGGCUGGAGUGCUAUCUCGAUCUUUUACUUUGAAAAAAUUAGAGUGUUUAAAGCAGGCUUUUGCUAUGAAUACAUUAGCAUGGAAUAAUAAUCUAGGACUUCGGUUCUAUUUUGUUGGUUUCUAUAACUGAAGUAAUGAUUGAUAGGGAUAGUUGGGGGUGCUAGUAUUGGCCGGCCAGAGGUGAAAUUCUUGGAUUCGGUCAAGACUAACUUAUGCGAAAGCAUU
RNAcentral lists this ribosomal RNA (320 nucleotides) under Cercomonas sp. Its description in RNAcentral is "SSU rRNA". The stretch from base 105 to 320 matches the Rfam family "Eukaryotic small subunit ribosomal RNA", at positions 738 to 955 of the family's 1831-position model. RNAcentral also lists the same sequence under 1 other name. The record is from RNAcentral. Lineage: Eukaryota; Cercozoa; Cercomonadida; Cercomonadidae.